Long non-coding RNA from Clupea harengus (Atlantic herring), 1395 nucleotides. The record is from Ensembl. NCBI's taxonomy places the organism in Eukaryota, Metazoa, Chordata, Actinopteri, Clupeiformes, Clupeidae.
UAGGCUUUUAUAUAAACAUCGAAGACAGCCUCACAGUUAACUGAAGUAGUAGUGCCUCAUUGUGCUUAUUGUCUGUUUCACACAGAGAGAAAAAAGAUGUUUCUGGUGCGAAACAGGAAUGAACCACUGUAGUAUAUUACCCAUGCUACAGAAUAGCACUUACAGUGACCCACAUCUUUAACAGUUAAAUCUGCAAUGAAACAUAUCAACAAACAGUGACAAAAUCACAUAAUUCAGCCUGUCCAAGUUGUUGCUGUAUGUCUUUCUGAAUUUGUGAGCACUCCCAAGAUUUACAACUGAUUAACUCACAGGGUUGCACUCAUCGACUCAUUUACAUUCCUGAGUAUAGUGUGAAAAGAAUCAUUGAAUCAUGUUUCUUUCCAUACCUCCUUCCAGUGAAUACCAUUCACCUGUGUAGCGAAGUAUGCCAUGACGAAUGCCAACAUUGCUAUGUCUCAAAGAGGUAUGUAUCCAACCCCUAGACUGUCAAACAUCUCGGGCAUGUGAUUCGAUUUUCUUGGCACAGUUAGCGCACUCGCACACAGCGGCGGUUCAGAGCCUCCAUCGCAUGAAAGGAUAGGCAAGAAGAAAAACAAAAACAACAACAAAAACACCAAAGGGGCUUUAUGUGUCAUUACAUAAGCACUUAGCCGCAUGAAUAUUCCUCAAAUACCUGGCAUUACAGGAUGUAAUCUGCUUACAGUGAUAGCACUGGAUGUGCCCAGCUUGUGUGGCAGGUGCCUCGGCAUUAGAGUCUAUUACAAAAGAUUACGGAGGCAGUGAUGGCAAUCUUGGCCAGGGAAAAGAAGAGAGGGAAUUUUAGUUUUUUUGAAAAGGCUUAAUCCGGGCUAGAUUACCCGCAAGGUACCGAAUAGGUAGACAUCAAAGUGAGGCAGCCCACUCAGUGAUAUUGAAAUGCAUGUACCCACUCAGCGUGAAUGAACCGACUCGCCGGGGGUUGUCAACUCAUUUGGGUAAAAGAAGAGAGAGAGAGGGAGAGACUAUGGCACAGGAAAAAAAAGACCCCAUCUGAUGUGUGCAAAGCCACGGCACCACUAGAGAAGUAUGCUUCGACUAGAACAUCCAGAAGUCGUACCUCUUUCAGAGCAACACUUGGAGAUUGUGGAUGCUGGGUCUCUUCCAGAGGCAGCUGAGACGAUCUUGGCAGAGGAGCGUCGAGCUCCUCGGUGAGCUAUUGCUGUUCGGAUCGCACACCACACUAGCCAGUAUGAGCAGUAAGAACUUCAAGUUCCUGGAACGAAGAGCGUGAAGAAUCGUUCAACCAUGUGAUGCCUGCCAUGGAUGAGGGAGGCCUGUCAAAUUUGGCUUGGAGAAGGCGCUUUUGGUUCCUCCAAAUAAUAAAAGCAAUCAGGCUCAUUGCAGGUACUCACAAGG